UAUUUAUUAUUUUUAUUUAUUUUAUUUCUGAAAUUCAUUUUUUUUUUUUUUUGUAGACGGAGUCUCGCUCUAUCACCCAGGCUGGAGUGCAGUGGUGCGAACUCGGCUCACUGCAACCUCCGCCUCUGGGUUCAAGUGAUUCUCCUGCCUGGGCCUCUGGGACUACAGGCACCCGCCACCACGCCCAACUAAUUUUUGUAUUUCUAGUAGAGACAGGGUUUCACCGUGUUGGCCAGGCUGGUCUUGAACUCCCGACCUCAAGUGAUCCGCCCUCCUCGGCCUCUCAAAGUGCUGGGAUUACAGGUGUGAGCCAUCUCACCCAGCCUCUUCUGUGUGUGUGUGUGUGUGUGUGUGUGUGUGUGUGUGUCUGUGUGUGUCUGUGUGUGUAGAGAAGGGGUCUUGCUAUGUUACCCAGGCUGGAGUGCAGUGGCCCGAUCAUAGCUUCCUGCAACCUCGAUCUCCUGGGCUCAAGCGACCCUAGAGGAAGGGCGUUUCGGUAUGGGCACUUCUUAGGAAAUCUUCGCUGCUUUGGAGACUAAAAGAGCCCAAAGGCAGGUAGGUGAGCCGCGGAUACAAGCCUCCCUGUCUCCCUGUUGUUGCAUACGGGUCUCACAGGAAACUAAGUGAGGAGUAGGGAGGGCAGUGGGUUAGGAACAGCGAUGGCCAGCAGAUGGCGCCAGGCCCCAAGGCAUGACCCACUGGCCGCAGGCGCGCCUGGGAGUGGCCGCGAAGCUAGUCCUCAAACAAAGCUGGAGCCAAUGCGCUCUCUGGGGUCCUUCACAUCCUGCUACUCAACGACCUGAAGGUCCUGCUGACUUCCCCUUCAGAAAAGGACUGAGGUACCAGAUGGAUACUUGAGUGCUAAGCUGGUUGUCCUUGGGCCCUUCAUGCCAGGCUCCCAGCGGCCCUGCCCUCUGAACAUCAGGCAAUGCCUCUCUACGAUACAUAGCUUUAAUCAGCAGCAAAAUAAAAUGGGGCUCAUUGAAUAAGGCUUACAAAGAUGAUGAGCUCCUGCCUGGGUUUGCACUGCCUGCUGUGCGGACGAGCCGCAUCUGUGGACUCCUCCUUAGUCAGACCAAGCUGCCAUCUUUACCUUGGCUCCGAAGGUGACCUAUGAGCUGCCACACCUACUCUAGGAAUGCCCAGCAAAGUCCUGACUUGGCAACAGGGACCAGGGAUAGAGACUUUGACACAUCUCCGGUGACUCUUCUGGAAAGGAGUGGAAGAUCUGCCGGUGAGCGAUAGAAGCGUCACACCCCGGUUCCCAAACCCAGCCCUAGACAUUCUGGUGCCGAGAGGUGUCACUUCCUGGCAAAGGUGAAGGGAGGGUCAGUUUCUCCCUGCUGUUCCUGAUUCCAUCAGCUCUUGACCCACAGAGCAAACAUGUGCCCAGCCUCUGCAGCGACAACCAGGUGUUCUCCUGGACUCACCCUGGCCCAGACCCGCUCGGUGGAGUUGGCAUCUGCUGUGAGCCUCCCAUUUGAUUUGAUGGUUUCCAUUUAGUAGGUAUUUGUAGAUGCAGCCAGUCCUUUGAAGAAUUAUUAUGCUCAUAAAGUGCAGAGAAAAUGGUAUGGCCCUGCCUACUUCUCAGUUUUCUGAGGCUCAGGAAUCAGCACACUGUUUUCCUGAUUUCGCUCUAGGCUUUCUUCACUCCCGUAAUGAGCAGUAGGGGUCACUGUGUAGCCACAGAACGCCUCCACGAGGCUCCAGAAAUCUAACUCCACCUACCUCUGGGCUGGACCAGAACACUUGGAUGAAACGGCCACGUCACCACAUCUUCACAAAGUCAGGGGACACAUUUAGCAGGAUCUUUUCUGAUUGAAAUGAUCAAUGGCUAUUUCUAUGUUGCUGAAGUGAAAAUGAAUAUAGUGGUUUGGGUUGGAAUCACUAUGUUGAUAUAAUACAUAUAUAGUGAUAUAAAUGACUAUAUUGAUAUAAAUAAUAUUGCCACCAACUCGUUAUGCUCCUGAAUUUCCUCAAUUAGUUUGAAAAUUGAUCAGUUUUCCCCAAAUAAGCUUAGAAUACAGUUUUGUUUUGUUUUAGACAGAGCCUUGCUCUGUUGCACAAGCUGGAGUGCAGUGGUGCAAUCUUGGCUCACUGCAACCUCUGCCUCCCGGGUUCAAGCGAUUCUCCUGCCUCAGCCUCCCAAAUAGCUGGGAUUAUAGGCAUAUGCCACCACAUCCGGCUAAUUUUUAUUUUUCGGAGAGAUGGAGUUUCACCAUGUUGGCCAGCCUGGAUACGAACAGAAUAUACAGUUUUAAUUGCAUGUGUGUAUAUGUUUAGAUACUGAUAAGCAAACAUUGUGUUAAAAACCAAGUAUCGCAUUAUUCUGUUUUUUAAGACCUAGAUUUACGGAAGAUAAACAUUAGAAAACAAUAUUCAGCAGUCUUGUUUCUAGUUUUAACAUGGACCUAAUGUGAAACAGAAGAAAAUUUGGGAUCAAUAAUAACACCACUUUGGUACCAACCACAAAACAAAAAAAGUUGAAAAAAAAAACAACCCACACCCUCAAAAGAUAACAAUGUAGUAUGUACGAAAAAAGUGAGUAGAAAUAAAAUAAAAUCAGAUACUAUGUGGGAAAGGGCUUUGUUGUCCAUACAUUGCCAUAGUUGGCCCAGGCAAGGAUAGUGGCAAUUGAAACACUUUCUAAGAUGCACAGCCCUGCAAGUCAGCUUUUGGCUGAUUUCCUGGGUAUUUAACUUGGAAUUGGACAACGGCCCUGGCUGCUCCUCACAACCCCUACCACCUCUGUCCACCAGGGGGCUUCACUCUUUUCCGCUUGGAUUCUCUUUACAUCCUCCACCGGUCCCCAACUCCACUCACCCAUCCCCCAGUAGAUUCCCUCCACUCUCCCCAUUUCCCUUCUUGUUUCCCACCUGGUCUACGAUCUAGCCAUUAAGGCUUCGGGGAGAAACAUAGGAAAAUCAGCACAGCCCACCAACUCCACUGCCUUGAAACUGCUUCUGCGUCUGUCGGCCCGCCUGCUUUCCACAGUACGGCAAAUCUUGGGCGUUCAACAAAUAUUGUGGACCACCACUACACUAGAACCACCAAAGAAAUAUGAUCAAGGCUGCACAAAGUAGUGCACUGAGGAUCCACUGCUAAUGAAUUUGGAAAAAUUAAAAGUCACAGGCCGGGCGCAGUGGCUCAAGGCUGGGCGCAGUGGCUCACGCCUGUAGUCCCAGCACUUUGGGAGGCUGAAGCGGGUGGAUCACGAGGUCAGGAGUUCGAGACCAGCCUGGGUAAUAUGGUGAAACCCUGUCUCUACUAAAAAUACAAAAAUUAGCUGAGCGUGGUGGCACGUGCCUGUAGUCCCAGCUGCUUGGGAGGCUGAGGCAGGAGAAUUGCUUGAACCCGGGAGAUCGCAGUGAGCUGAGAUGGAGCCACUGCGCCCCAGCCUGGUUGACAGAGCAUGACUCUGUCUCAAAAAACAAAACAAACAAAUAAAAAAACCACACACAUUUAAACCGUUUUCUAGUGUCCAGUUCUGUAGUAUUAGGUAGAUUCCCACUGUUGUGCGACCAUCACUACUAACCAUUUCCAGGUCUCUGUUCACCCUGUGGAAUGGAAACUCUGUAGCCAUGGAACAACUCCCCAUUCUGCAGUCCCUGGCAACCACCAUUCUACUUUCUGUCCCUAUGAAUGUAACUACUCUAAGUCUUAAAUGAGCCAAACUCAUUAGCAGUCAAUCCUCAAUGCACUGCUUCAUGCAGCUUUGAUCAUAUUUCUUUGGUGGCCCCAGUGUAGUGGCGGUCCACAAUAUUUGUUGAACGCCCAGGAUUUGCCACGCUGUGCCCGGCAGUCAGGUUGACAGAUGCAGAAGCAGUUUCAAUGCAGUGGAGUUGGUGGGCUAUGCUGAUUUUGCUGUGUUUCUCCCCAAAGCCUUACUACCUCGUGCGAGUGGACAAAUACAGUAUUUGUCCUUUUCUGACUGGCUUGCGUCACUUAACAUAAUAUCUUCAAGGUUCUUCAUAUUGUAGCACGUAUCGGAAUUUCCAUCCUUUUUCAGGCUGAAUAAUAUUCCAUUGUAUGGACAUUCCACAUGUUGUUUAUUCAUUCAUCCAUUGAUGGACACUUAAGUGGCUUUCACCUUUUCACUGUUGUGAAUAAUGCUGCCAUACACACAUGGGUGUACAAACAUCUAUUCGAGUCUGUGCUUUCAGUUGUUU
Long non-coding RNA from Pan paniscus (pygmy chimpanzee), 4169 nucleotides. The record is from Ensembl. Lineage: Eukaryota; Metazoa; Chordata; Mammalia; Primates; Hominidae.